UUUAUGGAGAGUUUGAUCCUGGCUCAGGAUGAACGCUGGCGGCGUGCCUAAUACAUGCAAGUCGAGCGAACAGACGAGGAGCUUGCUCCUCUGACGUUAGCGGCGGACGGGUGAGUAACACGUGGAUAACCUACCUAUAAGACUGGGAUAACUUCGGGAAACCGGAGCUAAUACCGGAUAAUAUAUUGAACCGCAUGGUUCAAUAGUGAAAGACGGUUUUGCUGUCACUUAUAGAUGGAUCCGCGCCGCAUUAGCUAGUUGGUAAGGUAACAGCUUACCAAGGCAACGAUGCGUAGCCGACCUGAGAGGGUGAUCGGCCACACUGGAACUGAGACACGGUCCAGACUCCUACGGGAGGCAGCAGUAGGGAAUCUUCCGCAAUGGGCGAAAGCCUGACGGAGCAACGCCGCGUGAGUGAUGAAGGUCUUCGGAUCGUAAAGCUCUGUUAUUGGGGAAGAACGAAUGUGUAAGUAACUAUGC
This 480-nucleotide ribosomal RNA is filed under the name Ursidibacter maritimus. Its description in RNAcentral is "bacterial SSU rRNA". It matches the Rfam family "Bacterial small subunit ribosomal RNA", at positions 1 to 469 of the family's 1533-position model. The record is from RNAcentral. Lineage: Bacteria; Pseudomonadati; Pseudomonadota; Gammaproteobacteria; Pasteurellales; Pasteurellaceae.